RNAcentral lists this ribosomal RNA (482 nucleotides) under uncultured bacterium. Its description in RNAcentral is "partial 16S ribosomal RNA". It matches the Rfam family "Bacterial small subunit ribosomal RNA", at positions 28 to 523 of the family's 1533-position model. The record is from RNAcentral.
GACGAACGCUGGCGGCGUGCUUAACACAUGCAAGUCGAACGAUGAAGAAGAGCUUGCUCUUCGGAUUAGUGGCGAACGGGUGAGUAACACGUGACUAACCUGCCCCUUUCUCUGGGAUAACGCUCCGAAAGGAGUGCUAAUACCGGAUACUCACAUCGAGGCACAUGCCUUGAUGUGGAAAGGUUUUCGGAAAGGGAUGGAGUCGCGGCCUAUCAGGUUGUUGGUGAGGUAACGGCUCACCAAGGCGACGACGGGUAGCCGGCCUGAGAGGGCGACCGGCCACACUGGGACUGAGACACGGCCCAGACUCCUACGGGAGGCAGCAGUGGGGAAUAUUGCACAAUGGGCGAAAGCCUGAUGCAGCGACGCCGCGUGAGGGAUGAAGGUCUUCGGAUUGUAAACCUCUUUCAGUAGGGACGAAGCGAAAGUGACGGUACCUAAAGAAGAAGCACCGGCUAACUACGUGCCAGCCGCCGCGGUAA